Molecule: ribosomal RNA, 268 nt
Filed under: Glossiphonia complanata
Lineage: Eukaryota; Metazoa; Annelida; Clitellata; Rhynchobdellida; Glossiphoniidae
Description: partial 28S ribosomal RNA
Rfam family: Eukaryotic large subunit ribosomal RNA
Source: RNAcentral
GAGUCGCAGGGCCGUACGAAACCCGAAGGCGCAACGAAAGUGAAGGCCGCCCCCGAGGGCGGCUCGGGCGGGAUCCGCGGCGGAGAAAUCCGUCGCGGCGCACCGCCGGCCCGUCUCGGCCGCCGCGUCGGCGAGGCGGAGCAAGAGCGCGCGCGUUGGGACCCGAAAGAUGGUGAACUAUGCCCGAGCAGGACGAAGCCAGAGGAAACUCUGGUGGAGGUCCGCAGCGAUUCUGACGUGCAAAUCGAUCGUCGAACUUGGGUAUAGG